UGGCGGACGGGUGAGUAAUGUCUGGGAAACUGCCUGAUGGAGGGGGAUAACUACUGGAAACGGUAGCUAAUACCGCAUAACGUCGCAAGACCAAAGAGGGGGACCUUCGGGCCUCUUGCCAUCGGAUGUGCCCAGAUGGGAUUAGCUAGUAGGUGGGGUAACGGCUCACCUAGGCGACGAUCCCUAGCUGGUCUGAGAGGAUGACCAGCCACACUGGAACUGAGACACGGUCCAA
This 235-nucleotide ribosomal RNA is filed under the name uncultured bacterium. RNAcentral describes it as "partial 16S ribosomal RNA". It matches the Rfam family "Bacterial small subunit ribosomal RNA", at positions 96 to 334 of the family's 1533-position model. The record is from RNAcentral.